RNAcentral lists this ribosomal RNA (433 nucleotides) under uncultured bacterium. Its description in RNAcentral is "partial 16S ribosomal RNA". It matches the Rfam family "Bacterial small subunit ribosomal RNA", at positions 29 to 507 of the family's 1533-position model. The record is from RNAcentral.
AACGAACGCUGGCGGCAUGCCUAACACAUGCAAGUCGAACGAGACCUUCGGGUCUAGUGGCGCACGGGUGCGUAACGCGUGGGAACCUGCCCUUAGGUUCGGAAUAACUCCCCGAAAGGGGUGCUAAUACCGGAUAAUGUCUUCGGACCAAAGAUUUAUCGCCUUUGGAUGGGCCCGCGUUGGAUUAGCUAGUUGGUAGGGUAAAAGCCUACCAAGGCGACGAUCCAUAGCUGGUCUGAGAGGAUGAUCAGCCAUACUGGGACUGAGACACGGCCCAGACUCCUACGGGAGGCAGCAGUGGGGAAUAUUGGACAAUGGGCGAAAGCCUGAUCCAGCAAUGCCGCGUGAGUGAUGAAGGACUUAGGGUUGUAAAGCUCUUUUACCCGGGAUGAUAAUGACAGUACCGGGAGAAUAAGCUCCGGCUAACUCCGUG